Molecule: ribosomal RNA, 490 nt
Filed under: uncultured bacterium
Lineage: Bacteria
Description: partial 16S ribosomal RNA
Rfam family: Bacterial small subunit ribosomal RNA
Source: RNAcentral
AUUGAACGCUGGCGGCAGGCCUAACACAUGCAAGUCGAACGGUAACAGGAAGCAGCUUGCUGCUUCGCUGACGAGUGGCGGACGGGUGAGUAAUGUCUGGGAAGCUGCCUGAUGGAGGGGGAUAACUACUGGAAACGGUAGCUAAUACCGCAUAAUGUCGCAAGACCAAAGAGGGGGACCUUCGGGCCUCUUGCCAUCGGAUGUGCCCAGAUGGGAUUAGCUUGUUGGUGGGGUAACGGCUCACCAAGGCGACGAUCCCUAGCUGGUCUGAGAGGAUGACCGGCCACACUGGAACUGAGACACGGUCCAGGCUCCUACGGGAGGCAGCAGUGGGGAAUAUUGGACAAUGGGCGCAAGCCUGAUGCAGCCAUGCCGCGUGUAUGAAGAAGGCCUUCGGGUUGUAAAGUACUUUCAGCGGGGAGGAAGGGAGUAAAGUUAAUACCUUUGCUCAUUGACGUUACCCGCAGAAGAAGCACCGGCUAACUCCGUG